GAUGAACGCUGGCGGCGUGCCUAAUACAUGCAAGUCGAGCGAACGGACGAGAAGCUUGCUUCUCUGAUGUUAGCGGCGGACGGGUGAGUAACACGUGGAUAACCUACCUAUAAGACUGGGAGAACUUCGGGAAACCGGUGCUAAUACCGGAUAAUAUUUUGAACCGCAUGGUUCAAAAGUGAAAGACGGUCUUGCUGUCACUUAUAGAUGGAUCCGCGCUGCAUUAGCUAGUUGGUAAGGUAACGGCUUACCAAGGCAACGAUGCAUAGCCGACCUGAGAGGGUGAUCGGCCACACUGGAACUGAGACACGGUCCAGACUCCUACGGGAGGCAGCAGUAGGGAACCUUCCGCAAUGGGCGAAAGCCUGACGGAGCAACGCCGCGUGAGUGAUGAAGGUCUUCGGAUCGUAAAACUCUGUUAUUAGGGAAGAACAUAUGUGUAAGUAACUGUGCACAUCUUGACGGUACCUAAUCAGAAAGCCACGGCUAACUACGUG
RNAcentral lists this ribosomal RNA (497 nucleotides) under uncultured bacterium. Its description in RNAcentral is "partial 16S ribosomal RNA". It matches the Rfam family "Bacterial small subunit ribosomal RNA", at positions 28 to 507 of the family's 1533-position model. The record is from RNAcentral.